UAUGCGAUAGCGUGGACGCUUUAGUUCACGAGGAAAGUCCGAGCAUCACAGAGCAGGAUAGCUGCUAACGGCAGCCGAGGGCGACCUUAGGGCUAGUGCAACAGAAAAGAGACUGCCGCUUUUUGCGGCGAUGGUGGAAUGGUGAGGUAAGAGCUCACCGGAGUGCAGGAGACUGCACUGCCGUGUAAACCCUAUCCGAUGCAACGCCUAUUGGUACCGACCGUCAACGUCUGCUCGGCGGACGGACCCGGUAAUGGCGGCUCGAGCCUGUCGGCGACGGCAGGCCUAGAUAAAUUAUCGCACACGACAGAACUCGGCUUAUCGGUCUGGU
RNAcentral lists this RNase P RNA (331 nucleotides) under bovine gut metagenome. RNAcentral describes it as "Bacterial RNase P class A". It matches the Rfam family "Bacterial RNase P class A". From Rfam's summary of the family: Ribonuclease P (RNase P) is a ubiquitous endoribonuclease, found in archaea, bacteria and eukarya as well as chloroplasts and mitochondria. Its best characterised activity is the generation of mature 5'-ends of tRNAs by cleaving the 5'-leader elements of precursor-tRNAs. The record is from RNAcentral.